UCGUAAGUUGCGGGGUUCUGCCGCCCGGCUUGGCUUAUGAUCUGGCCUUGCAGCCCAUUGCGGCUGCAGCAGGCGUGCGCAGUCGCGCCUGACGAG
RNAcentral lists this transfer RNA (96 nucleotides) under compost metagenome. RNAcentral's name for it is "tRNA-Ile". The record is from RNAcentral.